This 253-nucleotide ribosomal RNA is filed under the name uncultured bacterium. Its description in RNAcentral is "partial 16S ribosomal RNA". It matches the Rfam family "Bacterial small subunit ribosomal RNA", at positions 524 to 776 of the family's 1533-position model. The record is from RNAcentral.
UACGAAGGGGGCUAGCGUUGUUCGGAAUUACUGGGCGUAAAGCGCACGUAGGCGGACUAUUAAGUCAGGGGUGAAAUCCCGGGGCUCAACCCCGAAACUGCCUUUGAUACUGGUAGUCUCGAGUCCGGAAGAGGUGAGUGGAAUUCCGAGUGUAGAGGUGAAAUUCGUAGAUAUUCGGAGGAACACCAGUGGCGAAGGCGGCUCACUGGUCCGGUACUGACGCUGAGGUGCGAAAGCGUGGGGAGCAAACAGG